UACGUAGGAUCCAAGCGUUAUCCGGAAUCACUGGGCGUAAAGCGUACGUAGGCGGAUAUCUAAGUGAGAUGCGAAAUCUGGUGGCUCAACCACCUAGACUGUAUUUCAUACUGGAUGUCUGGAGGACGGCAGAGGCAAGUGGAAUUGGUAGUGUAGCAGUGAAAUGCGUAGAUAUUACCAGGAACACCAAUGGCGAAGGCAGCUUGCUGGGCCGUUCCUGACGCUGAGGUACGAAAGCGUGGGGAGCGAACAGG
This 254-nucleotide unclassified non-coding RNA is filed under the name uncultured Patescibacteria group bacterium. RNAcentral's name for it is "contains 16S-23S intergenic spacer region". It matches the Rfam family "Bacterial small subunit ribosomal RNA", at positions 524 to 776 of the family's 1533-position model. The record is from RNAcentral.